UACGUAGGGGGCAAGCGUUGUCCGGAUUUAUUGGGCGUAAAAAGCGUGUAGGCGGCCUGGAAGGUCAGCUGUGAAAACUCGAGGCUCAACCUCGAGACGUCGGUUGAAACCACCUGGCUAGAGUCCGGAAGAGGAGAGUGGAAUUCCCGGUGUAGCGGUGAAAUGCGCAGAUAUCGGGAAGAACACCCGUGGCGAAGGCGGCUCUCUGGGACGGUACUGACGCUGAGACGCGAAAGCGUGGGGAGCGAACAGG
RNAcentral lists this ribosomal RNA (253 nucleotides) under uncultured bacterium. RNAcentral describes it as "partial 16S ribosomal RNA". It matches the Rfam family "Bacterial small subunit ribosomal RNA", at positions 524 to 776 of the family's 1533-position model. The record is from RNAcentral.